This 440-nucleotide ribosomal RNA is filed under the name uncultured bacterium. Its description in RNAcentral is "partial 16S ribosomal RNA". It matches the Rfam family "Bacterial small subunit ribosomal RNA", at positions 338 to 795 of the family's 1533-position model. The record is from RNAcentral.
CCUACGGGAGGCAGCAGUGGGGGAUAUUGCACAAUGGGGGGAACCCUGAUGCAGCGACGCCGCGUGGGUGAAGAAGCGCCUCGGCGCGUAAAGCCCUGUCAGCAGGGAAGAAAAUGACGGUACCUGAAGAAGAAGCCCCGGCUAACUACGUGCCAGCAGCCGCGGUAAUACGUAGGGGGCAAGCGUUAUCCGGAUUUACUGGGGGUAAAGGGGGCGCAGACGGCGAUGCAAGCCAGGAGUGAAAGCCGGGGGCCCAACCCCGGGACUGCUCUUGGUACUGCGUGGCUGGAGUGCAGGAGGGGCAGGCGGAAUUACUGGUGUAGAGGUGAAAUGCGUAGAUAUCAGGAGGAACACCGGUGGCGAAGGCGGCCUGCUGGACUGCAACUGACGUUGAGGCCCGAAAGCGUGGGGAGCAAACAGGAUUAGAUACCCCUGUAGUC